AUCAAAUACUAAGCACUACGGUCUAUAAAAAAUGUUUAUACGCGUCAAAUAUUAAGCAGUACGGCAUAUAAAAAAUGUUUAGACGCGUCAAAUACUAAGCAGUACGGCAUAUAAAAAAUAUUAGGACGCGUCAAAUACUAAUCAGUACGGCAUAUUAAAAAUAUUAAUACGCGUCAAAUACUAAGCAGUACGGCAUCAGAAAAAAUCUAUUCUAUCAAAAUAUAUUACUACCGGCCAUAAUAUUUAGACGUAUCAAAUACUAAACAGUACGACAUUAACAGUUGUCCAAAAUAAUGAGCACUACCAAACGCUAAAACAUACUUCUAUAUAUACAUACACACGUAUCCUCAUAAACAUAUACAUUAUAGGAUAAAUACGUGAGAGAUUAGGAUUUACCCUUGAAGCGUGUCAACCCCAACCUCGAGCAGCCUCACAGUCACCGGAUGAGCACCACCACCACCUCCAAACUCCUCCAAACCACCACCAUUGCCCCAACUUAGCAACACGAAAUUAGCUCAAAAUGUUCAAUGAAAAGAUUAGAUCAAGGUGUCAUUGGGUGCUAAAUAGCAAGGGGAUGCAGCUUUCUGGGUUAAACGGGAUCAAAACUCACUCAUUUUGGGAAGAAUUUGGGGGCAUUUUUGAGGAAUAAGAAGAGGAGAAGAAGAACAGAAGGUGCAGGCGGCAGGAAGAAGAAGAGGGCUCGGUGGACUGGGCUCGCGCGAUGGGAAGUGAGGAAAGGAAAGGAAAAAGAGAAAAAGAAAAAAGAGAAAAGGAGAUUCCCUGGCCCAGGUGAGGCC
RNAcentral lists this long non-coding RNA (797 nucleotides) under Brachypodium distachyon (stiff brome). Its description in RNAcentral is "long non-coding RNA (BDIS_LNC004452)". The record is from RNAcentral. Lineage: Eukaryota; Viridiplantae; Streptophyta; Magnoliopsida; Poales; Poaceae.